Molecule: unclassified non-coding RNA, 331 nt
Filed under: uncultured fungus
Lineage: Eukaryota; Fungi
Description: partial contains 5.8S ribosomal RNA and internal transcribed spacer 2
Rfam family: 5.8S ribosomal RNA (bases 1-133)
Source: RNAcentral
UGGUUCUGGCAUCGAUGAAGAACGCAGCGAAAUGCGAUAAGUAAUGUGAAUUGCAGAAUUCAGUGAAUCAUCGAAUCUUUGAACGCACAUUGCGCCCAUCAGCAUUCUGAUGAGCAUGCCUGUUCGAGCGUCAUUUCAGCCCUCAGGCUCCGGCCUGGUGUUGGGGCCCUGCGGUAGCACGCAGGCCCCGAAAGACAGUGGCGGGCUUCGCAAGACCCCGAGCGUAGUAAUAUUUUUCUCGCUCCAGGGCGUCCGGCGGGCCACCCAGCCGUUAAACACGCUGUAUAGCAAUUUUAUAGUUGACCUCGGAUCAGGUAGGAAUACCCGCUGA